This 3571-nucleotide long non-coding RNA is filed under the name Homo sapiens (human). RNAcentral's name for it is "non-protein coding lnc-SPATA32-4:1". Lineage: Eukaryota; Metazoa; Chordata; Mammalia; Primates; Hominidae. The record is from RNAcentral.
UCACUGCAGCCUUGAACUUCUAGGCUCAAGCAAUCCUCCCUCCUCGGCCAUCCAAAGUGCCGGGAUUACAGUCCUGAGCACCAUGCCUGGCCUUACUGUUGAGUUUUAGGAGUAAUUUGCAGAGGGCAGAAGACCAAGAGAUCCGAGUCAUCACAGAAAACAAACAGCCUUCCAGGAUAUCUUCAAACUCUUCAGCUCCAGCCCAACAGGCACCGUGGACAUGCACAGCAUGAAAGUUGCCCUGGGCAAUGUGGGUAUCCAGCUGAGUCCACAGGAGACGUUCGAGGCUCUGCGGCAGGCAGACUUGGAUGGUGAUGGAAUCGUAAGCUUCAUUGACUUCCUGGGUGUCUUCGAUGACAACCACCGCUUGGCUCAGUGCAUGGGCACCCGCCCCAGGUGCGCGCAGCCCGUACUCUCAGAUUCCUAACCUGGAGGGGUUGGCGCUCCCGGAACGCAGGACACGAAGCCCAGCCCCGGGCCCCGGCUUCCGCCUGAUCCAGCCCUACUAGCCCGGCCGCCCCAAGAUCCCGCCCAGCCCGGGGCGUGUCUCGGCCUAGGGAUACUGGGCCAGCCACGAAAGCCUCCGCCCCCUCGAAGCGGGCUCCCUCGCCGCCAACUCUAGUGAAGAAGCAGCCCUUCUCCCCGGCGCCCGCUGGUUUGCAGAGGCCUGCUAUGAAGAGCUUGUGCAAGUAAAGCGUUUGCUGAGCGGAAACAGGCUGCGGGUGGCUGCGGCAGGCAUGGAGCCGACGCGGAUCUUUUGCAAACAUCUUUAUUAAUCUCAUAUAAAAAUAAGGUCCAUGGACGGUCCUCGGGGCUGGGGCUUGCGGGGGCGAGGUGCACUUUAUAAGUUACAGGCCAGGCUCCUGCUGAGGCUAAGUAUGGCUAUUUGGAGGGGGCUUUAGGGUGGGUGCUGCAAGCAGCAUUUGGGGGAAGGGGCGGGCGAUGCUGCCCUCUGUGGCCAAGAGGAGGAUGCACCAGCCCGUUUGAGGCGGGCCACAGCGGAGGAGGGGCUGCCCGGCCAGCCGAGCUGAGGACCACCUUCCUUGAGCCUCAGCCUGUCCACGGCCCCACACCCCUGCAGAAUCCACCUGCAGAAAUAGCGGCUACAGCGAGAGGUCGGAGGUGACCUGCAGUGGGGGGCCCGGGGGACGCCGACGGGCACUGCGGCGGCCUGUGUCUGCGCGGAUGUAGGGCUGGUUCCGCAGAUCUGGCAGCCGAAGGAGACACAUUUACCAUUCAGGAGUCCGCCCAGAGCUGGGAGCAUGGCUCCAGGGCACAAAGCUUAGCCUCCUAAGGACUCAGAUUGUGUGCACAUGGCAGGGGUACCGUUUAUGUUUGCCAGACCCCUCCACCCCACAAAUCACAUCCCAGCCAUCCACUGGCCCAGGAGAAGGCAGCAUGCCUCAGUUCUCCCAAGGGUCCCAGGGGCUGUGGGCAGCGUGGUAUCAGAGGCCAGGUCAUCUGGGUACCUGAGGGGCUAGAGGGGCAUCUCUUCUCCCAGGCUGGCCUCACAGAGGAGCCGGGAUGUCCGCUUGCCGGUGCGGGCCGUGAAGGGCACCGUCUUGAUCACUGAGUGGGGGUGGGGCAGGUGAAGGGGAGUAGAGAAAGGAAAAAGGAAAGAAAAACAGAAAAGGUAGCAAGAAGCAGUGUGGCAGCCAGUCCCCCAGAGGAUAGCGCAUUGGGUCAGAAGAAAGCAUAGAAGGACAGACUGAGGAUAAGACCAAGGCCUGGCCAAGCCCUUACCUGUGAUGAUGUCUUCAAUGGCCCCAUCACGGUCGCUCUCAUAAAUGAGUGGCUCCUUCUGCUGCCUCCGUUUCAGCUCAGAGAUGAGGUCCAUCUGUGGCCGCCGGGCCUUUGGCGGUGACUAGGGGGAAUUUAUAGCUCCAGCUCCAGGAUGCCUCCCCAUCACCAAAACCCUGGAAUAUCUGCCUGGUCCCCCACAGCAAGGACAGCUGGCUUGAGCAGAAAGAACCCUUUCCCAUCCCAGGCUCCUGGGGCAGGGUCAGUCUGUAACAGUGAGGGUGUGGGGGUGGCACCAGAGGGUGAUGAGAUGCCAUGCAUCCCUGCAGCCCAGUACCAAGCCCAGGAGCAGUUGCCUACCUUGGGUGCUGGGGGCUCCCCUUUGCCCGGGGUAUCAGCGCCUGCCUCCUGGGCAGCGGCUUCUUUUUUCCACUGUUCCACCUCCUGCUCAGCUUUCUGUGGGCCAAGGCAGUCUCCAUGAGGGUGGCCCUCCCUACUGCCCUACCCACCCCCUAAACAGAAGCAGCCCCACCCCUCCGCUGCCCAGUAGAAAGGCUUCAGUGCCCUACAGGGCUCCCAGCCUGCCCCAGACCCGAAUACCUUGUAGGCCUUAAUGAAGCGGCUAAAGAGGGAGAAGAACAGGCCUGGGGAUGUGGUCUUGGGGUUCUCUCCGAAGUACUCCACCACAGACUCAAAGGCCUCCUGUGGGCACAGCCUGUCAGCCCCCCAGCUUAGACCUCUCACAGCCUGUACCCCUCAGGACACUGGCCACCUGAUCUGAGCUCCUCCCAGGCAGGGUGGCCCCUCAUUCCUGCUGCAUCCCCCCAAGGGGUCCCAGCUACGGCCACACCCCUCCAGGCUGUGCUAUCUAGUGCUCCUACAUGCCCCACCUCCAGGUGAGGCCAGCCCUGGCGCACCUGAGCCGUCUUGCUGUCUGCCAGCAGCUUGUCCAUGGUGGGCGAGUUGGCCCUCAGGAACUCCUUGAGCACCAUGCAGUCAUCCUGCCGCACAAACUCUCUCUGUGUCAACUCUAGGCCUCGCUGCAGGGAGCGCACGUCCGCCAGGACACUGUCCAGGGACACUGGGCCAGGGAUGGGGCAGUAUCAGGUCAGUGAAUCGGAGAGGCAGCCCUCCCACCAAUUAUAUACUGUGGCCCCCUAGCUUUCUCCCAACCUACCCCAGCCCACGGCCCCUCCCCACACCCAAGGAUCUGUGUGUCUCCUACCUGAGCCCGCCUUGUCCAGGAAGUGCAGGUCGCUGUGGAAGCCUGUGAGUUGCGGGUACUUCUCAGCAAUGACCUUCACCAGGUAGUGCAGCAGCGUCUGCUUGCGAUCAGUCGACUUCAUCUCCAACAGCUGCACAAGGACCCAUUGUAAGCCACAGGCCACCAGCCAGUCCCCAGCCCCAGUCCCCAAGCCAGGGGCCCCUCCUCACCGCAUCCAGGCUCUGGAGCCGGAAGCCAUAGGCUGCCCCACGCUUGCUACUGUUCAUGUAGUUGCCAAAGGCCAGGACAAUCUGGGAGAGGCAGGAGAAAGGCUCAGCAGAAUGCCAGAGCUGAGGACACCGCUUAAGCAUAUUGCACAAGGAGGAGAAGAGGUGGCAAGGAGCAGGCCCCACACACUCAGCCCCUACUGUACUCCUGCACAGGCCCCUCAGAUCCACAGCACAUGUACAUGUGUGUACACACAGGUCUCACACAUGUGCACGGUUAACACCAUGGGCACACCAAAUUUUGUCCUCUGCUAGUCCAACCCACAACUUGUUGCCAGCAUCCCCUCCUAGUCUGUGUGGUCACUGCCUGUCCACCAGCCAUUUCUACUGGUUCCCGGGC